GACGAACGCUGGCGGCGUGCUUAACACAUGCAAGUCGAACGGAAAGGCCCUGCUUUUGUGGGGUGCUCGAGUGGCGAACGGGUGAGUAACACGUGAGUAACCUGCCCUUGACUUUGGGAUAACUUCAGGAAACUGGGGCUAAUACCGGAUAGGAGCUCCUGCUGCAUGUUGGGGGUUGGAAAGUUUCGGCGGUUGGGGAUGGACUCGCGGCUUAUCAGCUUGUUGGUGGGGUAGUGGCUUACCAAGGCUUUGACGGGUAGCCCGCCUGAGAGGGUUACCGGCCACAUUGGGACUGAGAUACGGCCCAGACUCCUACGGGAGGCAGCAGUGGGGAAUAUUGCACAAUGGGCGGAAGCCUGAUGCGGCAACGCCGCGUGCGGGAUGACGGCCUUCGGGUUGUAAACCGCUUUCGCCUGUGACGAAGCGUGAGUGACGGUAAUGGGUAAAGAAGCACCGGCUAACUACGUG
This 468-nucleotide ribosomal RNA is filed under the name uncultured bacterium. Its description in RNAcentral is "partial 16S ribosomal RNA". It matches the Rfam family "Bacterial small subunit ribosomal RNA", at positions 28 to 507 of the family's 1533-position model. The record is from RNAcentral.